RNAcentral lists this ribosomal RNA (560 nucleotides) under Pseudomonas sp. C12-7. RNAcentral's name for it is "bacterial SSU rRNA". It matches the Rfam family "Bacterial small subunit ribosomal RNA", at positions 137 to 692 of the family's 1533-position model. RNAcentral also lists the same sequence under 1 other name. The record is from RNAcentral. Lineage: Bacteria; Pseudomonadati; Pseudomonadota; Gammaproteobacteria; Pseudomonadales; Pseudomonadaceae.
UGGGGGACAACGUUUCGAAAGGAACGCUAAUACCGCAUACGUCCUACGGGAGAAAGCAGGGGACCUUCGGGCCUUGCGCUAUCAGAUGAGCCUAGGUCGGAUUAGCUAGUUGGUGAGGUAAUGGCUCACCAAGGCGACGAUCCGUAACUGGUCUGAGAGGAUGAUCAGUCACACUGGAACUGAGACACGGUCCAGACUCCUACGGGAGGCAGCAGUGGGGAAUAUUGGACAAUGGGCGAAAGCCUGAUCCAGCCAUGCCGCGUGUGUGAAGAAGGUCUUCGGAUUGUAAAGCACUUUAAGUUGGGAGGAAGGGUACUUACCUAAUACGUGAGUAUUUUGACGUUACCGACAGAAUAAGCACCGGCUAACUCUGUGCCAGCAGCCGCGGUAAUACAGAGGGUGCAAGCGUUAAUCGGAAUUACUGGGCGUAAAGCGCGCGUAGGUGGUUCGUUAAGUUGGAUGUGAAAUCCCCGGGCUCAACCUGGGAACUGCAUCCAAAACUGGCGAGCUAGAGUAGGGCAGAGGGUGGUGGAAUUUCCUGUGUAGCGGUGAAAUGCGUA